GUUGGCCUACGGGACGCAGCAGUGAGGAAUAUUGGUCAAUGGUCGGGAGACUGAACCAGCCACGCCGCGUGAGGGAGGAAGGUACAGAGUAUCGUAAACCUCUUUUGUCAGGGAACAAAGGCGGGGACGUGUCCCCGGAUGAGUGUACCUGAAGAAAAAGCAUCGGCUAACUCCGUGCCAGCAGCCGCGGUAAUACGGAGGAUGCGGGCGUUAUCCGGAUUUAUUGGGUUUAAAGGGUGCGCAGGCGGAAGAUCAAGUCAGCGGUAAAAUU
This 271-nucleotide ribosomal RNA is filed under the name uncultured bacterium. Its description in RNAcentral is "partial 16S ribosomal RNA". It matches the Rfam family "Bacterial small subunit ribosomal RNA", at positions 333 to 601 of the family's 1533-position model. The record is from RNAcentral.